AUGCAGCAAAGACAACAAGCAAAACAGUCCAAAAACUGCAAACAAAUCUGCUAUAAACCAGUCCACAGCCUGCAAAAAUCUGCAUCAAAACAGCCCAGCAUUUGCAUCAAUAUGGCUAAAGAAAAUUGUAUGAACAAAGCAUCAAAACAGUUUGUCAAAAUAGUUCAAAUGUUCUACUGUUUUCCCCCCUUAAAUGCUUUGUUCUUUCACUAUAAAAAGCCCCUUCAUGAACAGAAAUAA
Molecule: non-coding RNA, 240 nt
Organism: Vicia faba (fava bean)
Lineage: Eukaryota; Viridiplantae; Streptophyta; Magnoliopsida; Fabales; Fabaceae
Source: the annotation of a GenBank genome assembly